AUUUGAGUUUCAACAACUUAACAGGCCAAAUUCCAAGGGCUUUGUUCACUAUGAAUUCUCUCAGAGACUUGUUUCUUGGAAAUAAUAGUCUAUCAGGUUCUAUUCUCAGCCAAAAGAGUGAAACUCUUCAGACCAUAGAUUUAUCAUACAAUUUACUAUCAGGAAACUUGCCUUCUUGGGUAAACUCAUGCUUAAAACUGAACUUUGUAGCUAACAACUUCACACCU
This is a long non-coding RNA of Hibiscus syriacus, 227 nucleotides long. RefSeq lists it as uncharacterized. The record is from RefSeq and is a predicted model, not a curated record. The transcript is spliced from 4 exons. NCBI's taxonomy places the organism in Eukaryota, Viridiplantae, Streptophyta, Magnoliopsida, Malvales, Malvaceae.